UUGGAGGGCAAGUCUGGUGCCAGCAGCCGCGGUAGUUCCAGCUCCAAUAGCGUAUAUUAAAGUUGUUGCAGUUAAAAAGCUCGUAGUUGAAUUUCGAGAUCAAUUUGUCGGUCGUGCCUCGGUACGUACUGGCAUUAUUGAUUUCUCCCUUCUGAAGAACCGCGAUGUCAUUAAUUUGGUGUCGUGGGGAAUCAGGACUGUUACUUUGAAAAAAUUAGAGUGUUUAAAGCAGGCGCACGCUUGAAUACAUUAGCAUGGAAUAAUGAAAUAGGACGUUUGAUUCUAUUUUGUUGGUUUCUAGGAUCGACGUAAUGAUUAAUAGGGAUAGUUGGGGGCAUUAGUAUUCAAUUGUCAGAGGUGAAAUUCUUGGAUUUAUUGAAGACUAACUACUGCGAAAGCAUUUGCCAAGGAUGUUUUCAUUAAUCAAGAACGAAAGUUAGGGGAUCGAAGACGAUCAGAUACCGUCGUAGUCUUAACCAUAAACUAUGCCGACUAGGAAUCAGACGAUGUUAAUUUUUUAAUGACUCGUUUGGCACCUUACGGGAAACCAAAGUGUUUGGGUUC
RNAcentral lists this ribosomal RNA (564 nucleotides) under uncultured Glomeromycotina. RNAcentral describes it as "SSU rRNA". It matches the Rfam family "Eukaryotic small subunit ribosomal RNA", at positions 548 to 1114 of the family's 1831-position model. The record is from RNAcentral. Lineage: Eukaryota; Fungi; Glomeromycota.